UACGUAGGGUGCAAGCGUUGUCCGGAUUUAUUGGGCGUAAAGAGCUCGUAGGCGGUUUGUCGCGUCUGCUGUGAAAACGCGAGGCUCAACCUCGCGCCUGCAGUGGGUACGGGCAGACUAGAGUGCGGUAGGGGUGACUGGAAUUCCUGGUGUAGCGGUGGAAUGCGCAGAUAUCAGGAGGAACACCGAUGGCGAAGGCAGGUCACUGGGCCGCAACUGACGCUGAGGAGCGAAAGCAUGGGGAGCGAACAGG
RNAcentral lists this ribosomal RNA (253 nucleotides) under uncultured bacterium. RNAcentral's name for it is "partial 16S ribosomal RNA". It matches the Rfam family "Bacterial small subunit ribosomal RNA", at positions 524 to 776 of the family's 1533-position model. The record is from RNAcentral.